RNAcentral lists this ribosomal RNA (465 nucleotides) under uncultured bacterium. Its description in RNAcentral is "partial 16S ribosomal RNA". It matches the Rfam family "Bacterial small subunit ribosomal RNA", at positions 29 to 507 of the family's 1533-position model. The record is from RNAcentral.
AUGAACGCUGGCGGCGUGCUUAACACAUGCAAGUCGAACGAUGAAGCCCAGCUUGCUGGGUGGAUUAGUGGCGAACGGGUGAGUAACACGUGAGUAACCUGCCCUUAACUCUGGGAUAAGCCUGGGAAACUGGGUCUAAUGCCGGAUAGGAGCGUCCACCGCAUGGUGGGUGUUGGAAAGAUUUAUCGGUUUUGGAUGGACUCGCGGCCUAUCAGCUUGUUGGUGAGGUAAUGGCUCACCAAGGCGACGACGGGUAGCCGGCCUGAGAGGGUGACCGGCCACACUGGGACUGAGACACGGCCCAGACUCCUACGGGAGGCAGCAGUGGGGAAUAUUGCACAAUGGGCGCAAGCCUGAUGCAGCGACGCCGCGUGAGGGAUGACGGCCUUCGGGUUGUAAACCUCUUUCAGUAGGGAAGAAGCGAAAGUGACGGUACCUGCAGAAGAAGCACCGGCUAACUACGUG